RNAcentral lists this ribosomal RNA (425 nucleotides) under uncultured bacterium. RNAcentral describes it as "bacterial SSU rRNA". It matches the Rfam family "Bacterial small subunit ribosomal RNA", at positions 355 to 775 of the family's 1533-position model. The record is from RNAcentral.
UCGAGAAUCUUCGGCAAUGGGCGCAAGCCUGACCGAGCGACGCCGCGUGCGGGAUGAAGGCCUUCGGGUUGUAAACCGCUGUCGGAGGGGAGGAAAUCAAUGGGGGCUAACCCCCAUUGUUGACCUAUCCUCAAAGGAAGGACGGGCUAAGUUCGUGCCAGCAGCCGCGGUAAGACGAACCGUCCAAACGUUAUUCGGAAUCACUGGGCUUAAAGGGUGCGUAGGCGGCCUUGUAAGUUGGGUGUGAAAUCCCUCGGCUCAACCGAGGAACUGCGCCCAAAACUACAAGGCUUGAGGAAGACAGAGGUGAGCGGAACUUGCGGUGGAGCGGUGAAAUGCGUUGAUAUCGCAAGGAACACCGGUGGCGAAAGCGGCUCACUGGGUCUUUUCUGACGCUGAGGCACGAAAGCUAGGGGAGCGAAGAG